ACAAAGUUUUGGUCCUAAACUUGCCAUUGUUUUUAACCAGAAUUAUACAUGCAAGCCUCCACAGACCAGUGAGAAUGCCCACCACCCCCAACAGAACCCCGGAGCAGGUAUCAGGCCCAACCCAGAUUAGCCAACAACACCUUGCCUUGCCACACCCUCACGGGCCUUCAGCAGUAAUUAACACUAAGCUAUGAACGAAAGUUCGACUCGGUAAUGGUUUAAAAAGUCGGUAAAUUUCGUGCCAGCCACCGCGGUUACACGAAAGACUAAAAACAAUGGCCCUCGGCGUAAAGAGUGACCAGAAACAAACCCACGCUCUAAAGGAAAAACUACCACAAAGCCGUAAAACGCCACUGCGGAAAGGAAUUAACGCCUUUAAUAACGGGCACUUUUUUUCACGAAAGUUAAGAAACAAACUGGGAUUAGAUACCCCACUAUGCUUAACCCUAAACACAGACAAUACCCACACAAUAUUGUCCGCCAGAGAACUACUAGCGAAAAGCUUGAAACUCCAAGGACUUGGCGGUGCCCCACAUCACCCUAGAGGAGCCUGUCCUAUAAUCGAUACCCCACGUUAUACCUCACCAUCAUUUGCCAGUCAGCCUAUAUACCGCCGUCGUCAGCCCACCUUAUAAAAGACAAACAGUCGGCACAAAGGAAUGCACAAAUACGUCAGGUCAAGGUGUAGCACAUGAGAUGGAAGAGAUGGGCUACAUUUCCUGUCACAGAACAUACGAACGGCAAAGUGAAACACCAACCCAAAGGCGGAUUUAGCAGUAAAAUGAACAAGCAACCUCAUCUUAAACCUGCUCUGGGGCGCGCACACACCGC
RNAcentral lists this non-coding RNA (831 nucleotides) under Scelotes mirus. Its description in RNAcentral is "partial 12S ribosomal RNA". It matches the Rfam family "Bacterial small subunit ribosomal RNA". Lineage: Eukaryota; Metazoa; Chordata; Lepidosauria; Squamata; Scincidae. The record is from RNAcentral.